RNAcentral lists this ribosomal RNA (303 nucleotides) under uncultured bacterium. Its description in RNAcentral is "partial 16S ribosomal RNA". It matches the Rfam family "Bacterial small subunit ribosomal RNA", at positions 507 to 809 of the family's 1533-position model. The record is from RNAcentral.
AGCAGUCGCCGCGGUAAUACGGAGGGUGCAAGCGUUAAUCGGAAUUACUGGGCGUAAAGCGCACGCAGGCGGUCUGACAAGUCAGAUGUGAAAUCCCCGGGCUUAACCUGGGAACUGCAUUUGAAACUGUCAGGCUGGAGUCUUGUAGAGGGGGGUGGAAUUCCAGGUGUAGCGGUGAAAUGCGUAGAGAUCUGGAGGAAUACCGGUGGCGAAGGCGGCCCCCUGGACAAAGACUGACGCUCAGGUGCGAAAGCGUGGGGAGCAAACAGGAUUAGAUACCCGCGUAGUCCCUGUCUCUUAUAA